CUACAGGUUGUUUUAACAACCAAAAGACAAUGUAUUAGAAAAUACUU
Molecule: non-coding RNA, 47 nt
Organism: Camelus ferus (Wild Bactrian camel)
Lineage: Eukaryota; Metazoa; Chordata; Mammalia; Artiodactyla; Camelidae
Source: Rfam